UUAAGUGACUAAGCGUACACGGUGGAUGCCUGGGCAGUCAGAGGCGAUGAAGGACGUACUAACUUGCGAUAAGCGCAGAUAAGGCAGUAAGAGCCGUUUGAGUCUGCGAUUUCCGAAUGGGGAAACCCAACUGCAUAAGCAGUUACUGUUAACUGAAUACAUAGGUUAACAGAGCAAACCGGGGGAACUGAAACAUCUAAGUACCCCGAGGAGAAGAAAUCAACCGAGAUUCCGGUAGUAGCGGCGAGCGAACCUGGAUUAGCCCUUAAGCACUCGGUGAAGUAGGUGAACAAGCUGGAAAGCUUGGCGAUACAGGGUGAUAGCCCCGUAACCGACGCUUCAUCGAGCGUGAAAUCGAGUAGGGCGGGACACGUGAUAUCCUGUCUGAAUAUGGGGGACCAUCCUCCAAGGCUAAAUACUCCUGACUGACCGAUAGUGAACCAGUACCGUGAGGGAAAGGCGAAAAGAACCCCUGUGAGGGGAGUGAAAUAGAACCUGAAACCGUGUACGUACAAGCAGUAGGAGCACCUUCGUGGUGUGACUGCGUACCUUUUGUAUAAUGGGUCAGCGACUUAUAUUCAGUGGCAAGGUUAACCGUAUAGGGGAGCCGUAGCGAAAGCGAGUCUUAACUGGGCGCUCAGUCUCUGGAUAUAGACCCGAAACCGGGUGAUCUAGCCAUGGGCAGGUUGAAGGUUGAGUAACAUCAACUGGAGGACCGAACCGACUAAUGUUGAAAAAUUAGCGGAUGACUUGUGGCUAGGGGUGAAAGGCCAAUCAAACUCGGAGAUAGCUGGUUCUCCCCGAAAGCUAUUUAGGUAGCGCCUCGGACGAAUACUACUGGGGGUAGAGCACUGUUAAGGCUAGGGGGUCAUCCCGACUUACCAACCCUUUGCAAACUCCGAAUACCAGUAAGUACUAUCCGGGAGACACACGGCGGGUGCUAACGUCCGUCGUGGAGAGGGAAACAACCCAGACCGCCAGCUAAGGUCCCAAAGUAUUGCUAAGUGGGAAACGAUGUGGGAAGGCUCAGACAGCUAGGAUGUUGGCUUAGAAGCAGCCAUCAUUUAAAGAAAGCGUAAUAGCUCACUAGUCGAGUCGGCCUGCGCGGAAGAUGUAACGGGGCUAAGCAAUACACCGAAGCUGCGGCAAUGUCUUUUAGACAUUGGGUAGGGGAGCGUUCUGUAAGCCGUUGAAGGUGAAUCGUAAGGUUUGCUGGAGGUAUCAGAAGUGCGAAUGCUGACAUGAGUAACGACAAAGGGGGUGAAAAACCUCCUCGCCGGAAGACCAAGGGUUCCUGUCCAACGUUAAUCGGGGCAGGGUGAGUCGACCCCUAAGGUGAGGCCGAAAGGCGUAAUCGAUGGGAAACGGGUUAAUAUUCCCGUACUUCUGACUAUUGCGAUGGGGGGACGGAGAAGGCUAGGUGGGCCAGGCGACGGUUGUCCUGGUUCAAGUGCGUAGGCUUGAGAGUUAGGUAAAUCCGGCUCUCUCUAAGGCUGAGACACGACGUCGAGCUACUACGGUAGUGAAGUCAUUGAUGCCAUGCUUCCAGGAAAAGCCUCUAAGCUUCAGAUAGUCAGGAAUCGUACCCCAAACCGACACAGGUGGUCGGGUAGAGAAUACCAAGGCGCUUGAGAGAACUCGGGUGAAGGAACUAGGCAAAAUGGUACCGUAACUUCGGGAGAAGGUACGCUCUUGAUGGUGAAGUCCCUCGCGGAUGGAGCUGACGAGAGUCGCAGAUACCAGGUGGCUGCAACUGUUUAUUAAAAACACAGCACUGUGCAAAAUCGCAAGAUGACGUAUACGGUGUGACGCCUGCCCGGUGCCGGAAGGUUAAUUGAUGGGGUUAGCGCAAGCGAAGCUCUUGAUCGAAGCCCCGGUAAACGGCGGCCGUAACUAUAACGGUCCUAAGGUAGCGAAAUUCCUUGUCGGGUAAGUUCCGACCUGCACGAAUGGCGUAAUGAUGGCCACGCUGUCUCCACCCGAGACUCAGUGAAAUUGAAAUCGCUGUGAAGAUGCAGUGUACCCGCGGCUAGACGGAAAGACCCCGUGAACCUUUACUACAGCUUGGCACUGAACAUUGAACCUACAUGUGUAGGAUAGGUGGGAGGCUAUGAAGACGUGACGCCAGUUGCGUUGGAGCCGUCCUUGAAAUACCACCCUUGUAUGUUUGAUGUUCUAACUUAGACCCAUUAUCUGGGUUGAGGACAGUGCCUGGUGGGUAGUUUGACUGGGGCGGUCUCCUCCCAAAGAGUAACGGAGGAGCACGAAGGUGGGCUAAUCACGGUUGGACAUCGUGAGGUUAGUGCAAUGGCAUAAGCCCGCUUAACUGCGAGAAUGACGGUUCGAGCAGGUGCGAAAGCAGGUCAUAGUGAUCCGGUGGUUCUGUAUGGAAGGGCCAUCGCUCAACGGAUAAAAGGUACUCCGGGGAUAACAGGCUGAUACCGCCCAAGAGUUCAUAUCGACGGCGGUGUUUGGCACCUCGAUGUCGGCUCAUCACAUCCUGGGGCUGAAGUCGGUCCCAAGGGUAUGGCUGUUCGCCAUUUAAAGUGGUACGCGAGCUGGGUUUAGAACGUCGUGAGACAGUUCGGUCCCUAUCUGCCGUGGGCGUUGGAAGAUUGAAGGGGGCUGCUCCUAGUACGAGAGGACCGGAGUGGACGAACCUCUGGUGUUCGGGUUGUGUCGCCAGACGCAUUGCCCGGUAGCUAAGUUCGGAAUUGAUAAGCGCUGAAAGCAUCUAAGCGCGAAGCGAGCCCUGAGAUGAGUCUUCCCUGACAGUUUAACUGUCCUAAAGGGUUGUUCGAGACUAGAACGUUGAUAGGCAGGGUGUGUAAGCGUUGUGAGGCGUUGAGCUAACCUGUACUAAUUGCCCGUGAGGCUUAACCAU
RNAcentral lists this ribosomal RNA (2884 nucleotides) under Vibrio cholerae H1. Its description in RNAcentral is "bacterial LSU rRNA". It matches the Rfam family "Bacterial large subunit ribosomal RNA". The record is from RNAcentral. Lineage: Bacteria; Pseudomonadati; Pseudomonadota; Gammaproteobacteria; Vibrionales; Vibrionaceae.